AUGGUUACCAAUAAGAUGACAGGUAGAAAUAUUCUUGAAGGGGUGGUCGUCUUGCAUGAAACGCUCCAUGAGAUCCACUCAAAAAAACUAGAUGGUGUGGUUUUUAAAGUGGAUUUUGAAAAAGCAUACGAUAAAGUUAAAUGGCCUUUCCUUCAACAGGCAUUGCGUAUGAAAGGAUUUGACAAGGCCUGGCGAGACCAGAUUGAGUCCUUUACGCAAAAAGGGAGUGUAGGGAUUAAAGUGAAUGAUGAUAUAGGUCACUAUUUCCAGACACACAAAGGACUAAGGCAAGGAGAUCCCAUGUCACCGAUUCUAUUCAACAUAGUGGUUGAUAUGUUAUCUAUUUUAAUAGGUCGAGCUAAGGAUGCGGGGCAGGUUUCUGGCUUGGUUCCGCACCUAGUUGAUGGUGGUAUAUCCAUUUUGCAGUAUGCUGAUGACACUAUCAUCUUUAUGGAGCAUGACUUGGCGAAAGUAAGAAACAUGAAGCUUGUGUUGUGCUUAUUUGAACAAUUGUCUGGACUCAAGAUUAACUUCCAUAAGAGCGAACUGUUUUGCUUUGGAAGAGCUACUGAGGACCAGGAGGGCGUAUAA
RNAcentral lists this ribosomal RNA (591 nucleotides) under Triticum aestivum (bread wheat). Its description in RNAcentral is "partial small subunit ribosomal RNA". Lineage: Eukaryota; Viridiplantae; Streptophyta; Magnoliopsida; Poales; Poaceae. The record is from RNAcentral.